CCUACGGGGUGCUGCAGUGGGGAAUAUUGCGCAAUGGGCGCAAGCCUGACGCAGCGACGCCGCGUGAGGGAUGAAGGUCUUCGGAUCGUAAACCUCUGUCAGCAGGGAAGAACGGUCCCUGUGCUAAUCAGCAGUGAAUUGACGGUACCUGCAAAGGCAGCACCGGCUAACUCCGUGCCAGCAGCCGCGGUAAUACGGAGGGUGCGAGCGUUAAUCGGAAUUACUGGGCGGAAAGCGCUCGUAGGCGGUAGGUCAAGUCAAGGGUGAAAUCCCCGCGCUCAACGUGGGAACUGCCUUUGAAACGGGCAAACUGGAGUGUGUGAGAGGAUAGUGGAAUUCCAGGUGUAGGAGUGAAAUCCGUAGAGAUCGGGAGGAACAUCAGUGGCGAAGGCGACUAGCUGGAACAUAACUGACGCUGAGGAGCGAAAGCGUGGGUAGCAAACAGGAUUAGAUACCCGGGUAGUC
This 465-nucleotide ribosomal RNA is filed under the name uncultured bacterium. RNAcentral's name for it is "partial 16S ribosomal RNA". It matches the Rfam family "Bacterial small subunit ribosomal RNA", at positions 338 to 795 of the family's 1533-position model. The record is from RNAcentral.